CCUGCCCGCUGGGUGGGCUCUCCAAUUCUCCACAGCUGUGCCAGGGAGCCAUUUCUACUGUUUAUUCUGGUUAUUUGGAGAAAAUAGUCAUAGGAGCAUCCUGAUAAAGGAGCAGGCAUCCAUAAUUGAUUCUUGGUACCCAGCUCCCUCUGUUUCCAGAUAUCCAAAGAAAAAGACCACUGUGCUCAGGAGCAAUGGAAUGCUCCUUUAUCCAGUAACAGUGGGACUUGGAAAUGUGUUUCCAAACAGGAUCUGAAACAAAGACCUUAAGCACCAUUGUGGGAGCCUCAGCUCUUCACUGGGAGUGGAAGGGGCUGUUGUGUGGAAGCAGCCAUGGAAAUUUAUUUUCCUAUGUCCAUCAGCUACAAGAAUGGGCCAUCUCUCACCUGUUAUGCCCACAGAGCCUAUGUGGACAUCUAAAACCCAUUUCUGCUGCAAAUAAUGUCAAAAGAUUUUAGACAAAGUGACAUCUUCUCCAUGAGUCUCCUGAGCUUGCUGCUCUCCCUGAGGCAGGGCUCCUCAGUGCUUGUAUUUUCCUCAGGACACCCAUCUCUUUGCCUGUAACUGACCACUUGAACAUGCUGAGGAAGAGAUACAGUCCUGUUGGUGCACUGAAAUAAAUCCCAGGGAAAUACAUUAGCAG
Vidua macroura (Pin-tailed whydah) is the source of this 643-nucleotide long non-coding RNA. RefSeq lists it as uncharacterized. NCBI's taxonomy places the organism in Eukaryota, Metazoa, Chordata, Aves, Passeriformes, Viduidae. The transcript is spliced from 4 exons. The record is from RefSeq and is a predicted model, not a curated record.